UUUAUAUAUGAAGAACAACGGACAUCUCUUCAGUGAAACUUAAACCACCUUGAAGAUACUUUACUUCUCUAAGCAUGGAGACGGUAAAAGUCCUGGCAAUGAUCAUGUUUCUGACUUUCGGAAAACUGUCGUCAUUUUCCGCCGACCCCGUUCAUCUUCUCAACUUAUCAAAAGCGAUCGACUCGUUGGAUCGUUAUAAGAACUUUACGAAGGACAGCCUGGAGACCCCCACUAAAUCUUACAUUGCUGGGAAUAUUACAGAGGCUCCCGAAGACUUUACUCUGGAACAUGUAAAAGAAACUCUAUUGUUAUUCCACUGUUACACACUCAAAGCCACUGAGAAAAACGAAAUGUUUCAUGGCGACUUUACUCGUAUAGCUAAGGAAUGCUGGGAUCUCCAGAAACAUAUAAAUCCACAACACAGAGAACACCACAUCAAACAUGACUGUGCAACAGAAUUCAAGGGCGACUACGAAAGACGGGAAUUUCAAAGAAAUCUACUAUGGUUGUAUGUUCACUGGUUGGAGAAAAUUCGUAAACAAUACUGUGAUACACUGAGGUGUAGUUUUA
This is a long non-coding RNA of Brienomyrus brachyistius, 570 nucleotides long. RefSeq lists it as uncharacterized. The transcript is spliced from 3 exons. NCBI's taxonomy places the organism in Eukaryota, Metazoa, Chordata, Actinopteri, Osteoglossiformes, Mormyridae. The record is from RefSeq and is a predicted model, not a curated record.